UAGUACACUUAAAUUUAAUUUAUAAAUAUUAGAAUAUUAAGAGUUAUAUUCUUUAAAUUUAAAAAAUUUGGCGGUGUUUUAGUCUAGUUAGAGGAACCUGUAUUAUAAACGACAUAACACGCAUUAUUUUACUUAUUUUGGUAAACAGUUUGUAUACCGUCAUUAUUAGAUAAUUUAUGAGAAAAUAUUAUUGGGAUCAUAUUAUUGAGUAUAUUAGAUCAAGGUGCAGCUUAUAAAUAAGUAGAUAUGGGUUACAAUAAAAUUUAUUUAAUAUGGAUUUAAUAUUUAAAUAUGUUUAUGAAGGAGGAUUUAAUUGUAAGGAAAGGAGUAGUAAGAUUUUCUGAUAAAAGCUCUAAAUUAU
This 361-nucleotide ribosomal RNA is filed under the name Fallicambarus dissitus. RNAcentral's name for it is "partial 12S ribosomal RNA". The record is from RNAcentral. Lineage: Eukaryota; Metazoa; Arthropoda; Malacostraca; Decapoda; Cambaridae.